RNAcentral lists this ribosomal RNA (257 nucleotides) under Morganella morganii. RNAcentral's name for it is "partial 16S ribosomal RNA". It matches the Rfam family "Bacterial small subunit ribosomal RNA", at positions 1 to 253 of the family's 1533-position model. Lineage: Bacteria; Pseudomonadati; Pseudomonadota; Gammaproteobacteria; Enterobacterales; Morganellaceae. The record is from RNAcentral.
UUAAUUGAAGAGUUUGAUCAUGGCUCAGAUUGAACGCUGGCGGCAGGCCUAACACAUGCAAGUCGGGCGGUAACAGGGAGAAGCUUGCUUCUCUGCUGACGAGCGGCGGACGGGUGAGUAAUGUAUGGGGAUCUGCCUGAUGGCGGGGGAUAACUACUGGAAACGGUAGCUAAUACCGCAUAAUGUCUUCGGACCAAAGCGGGGGACCUCCGGGCCUUGCGCCAUCAGAUGAACCCAUAUGGGAUUAGCUAGUAGGU